GAGGAAUUUGUGAGUUAAGCCAAAUCUUUUUUUAAAAUCGUAGUUGAUUUACAACGUUAUGUUAAUUUCUGCUGUGUUAAUUUCAGUUACACAUUUUUCUAUAUUUUCCAUUAUGGCUGAUCAUAGAACAUUGAAUAUAGUUCUCCACGCUGUAAGUAGAAUGUUGUUGUCUAAGGCCAAAUCUUCUUAAAGGUGAUUCUCUGUUGGCACAAUCGAUACUGACCAGAGACCACUGGUUAAGGUACUAGAAUUACACAGUCCAUCAUCCUUCUAGUAGAUCUUUAUGGGACACACCAUCCUUGUGCCCAGUGUUUUUGCACAUGGCAGCAUUUAGCUAUUUUACAGGGCACACACAUCCAAGCCUUCCACCUCCCUGCCUGUGUCCUUUCAUUUCCUCACCUGGCCUCUGUAAGGCCUGCUAUGUGCUGUCCCCACGCUCCACGGCUGGGACAUGUUAGUGAACAAAAUAGUCCCUCUUCUCACAGAGCUUACGUUCAGGCCUGGGCACCGCAUAUACACGGAGACAGGUAGCUAUUCUCUGUGGAAACGCUCUUCAUCUCUCAGGAGACCCACACGUGGAGGAAGCCAACCGAAUGUUCUUCACCUCCAUUAAGGGUACGGGGUGUGGGAGGAAGUGGGGGUGGACACUGGGGCCACUGUCAGAGGACGCAGCUGACAGUGUCCUCCUGAGCCCACGAGUGUCACGUAUGAGCCAGCUGACAGCAUGACUAACCACUUCUGCUCUACUGUUGACUUGGGGUCCCUGCAAAAAUGAGUUUUCUGCUAAGGGGAAGCGGGAGUCGGAUCUUUGUGGAAAUGGCCUCAAGAAUGAUGAUCAAGCCUGAGGCUAAGGAAUUUUCAAAUAAGGCACAAUAUUUAUGGGCAGUUUGGUGCACUGGCAGAGGUGGUCGGCGGCACAACCUCACAGGAGAACCCUAGAGCACUAGGUGUGUCUGUGUUACACCAAGAAUUUGUCUGAAAGUUGGACGCCACUACUGACUUUUUGUUCUGGGUAAUUUAGAAUUUAUAUGUCUGGACUAAGAUCAAAACUGGGGGUGCAACGAUUCUAAACGACAUCUGUUAAGUGUCCUUUGUAGCGGUUCCCUCUGCGUGAGGAUAAUGAAAUUUCGAGCGUCUUCCGCCAGGCUCACUAAAUUUAGAGAGGUAAUUGCUGUUUACUCUUUUUGAGGGGGGCAUUGUGGGAGGUGUGAAAAUGUGAAAACUGAGAUGAUAGAGUAGAAAAUAGGCAAGUUCUGCGGAGGGGGCCCAUCUUCCAAGAUGGCAGCUGAGUAUGAUGUUUAAGGUUGAUUGCAGGGGUAGUAAUUCUUCCCUUUUUUUUUUUUUUUUUUUUUUUUUGUCUUUUUAGCUAUUUCUUGGGCUGCUCCCGCGGCAUAUGGAGGUUCCCAGGCUAGGGGUCGAAUCGGAGCUGUAGCCACCGGCCUACGCCAGAGCCACAGCAACACGGGAUCCGAGCUGCGUCUGCAACCUACACCACAGCUCACGGCAACGCCGGAUCGUUAACCCACUGACAAGGCCAGGGACCGAACCCGCAACCUCAUGGUUCCUAGUCGGAUUCGUUAACCACUGCGCCAUGACGGGAACUCCCUUUCCCUUUCUUUAAAAACAUUCCUUUGUACAGAAUAGCUUGACCUUUGCAGCUAAGGCUAACUUCUGCUACACGUGGAUUCAGUAGAAAGCUGACUGGAGGGAGUCAUUUUGGCAGUUUGGAAACCUACACUUGUGUGGAAAAAGCGUUGAUUCCCUGCAGUAUUGGAAAAGUUCUGGGAGUUGAGAGAAAAGCUAGGACAGUUAGCAACACAUACGAAUCUGUUCGUUAUCCAGUUGUUUAAACACGGAAAAGUUGGCACUCUUUGAACCUGGAAGCACAUAUAGAAAUUUGGGGGGGGGCCACACCCACGGCAUGCGGAAGUUUCUAGGCCAGAGAUUGAAUCGUACCACUGCAGUAACCAGAGCUGCAGCAGCCAGGGAUCAAACGCGCAUCCUCAUGGAUACUAGUUGGGUUUGUUACCACUGAGCCACAAUGGGAACUCCUACUUCUUCUUAUCCAACUUAGAUGCCUGUUAUUUUUCUCUGGCCUAAUUGUUCUGGCUGGAGCUUCCAGUGCUGUGUUACAUAGGAGUUUUGAGAGUGGGUAUCCUUGUCUUAUUCCUGAUCUUAGUGGGGAAGUUUUCAACUUUUCGUGGUUGAGUGCAAUGUUAGCUGUGGAUUUGUCCCAGAGGUCUGUCGUCUUCUGUGCUUACAGACAUGCAAGCGUGCCUUCUCUCUCUCUCUCUCUCUCUCUCUCACACACACACACACACACACACACACACACACACAGAGUGGCAGGCUAACUAGCUAGCUGGCAAGUGAGAUAAAGCCACAGACCUUUCACAGUUUCCAGUGUAACACAGGGAUGGUGCGAGAAGGUGUGGAUGGUGUGUAACUUGCCCAGUGGUGCUCAGCCAAGCAGAACUGGCAGCAGUCAGGAGAAUGCUGGCCUCUAGGGCCAUCCACUCCCCAGGUGACUCCUCUGAGCUUCUCAAAUUUCGGUGCACUUGCGGAUCAUCUGGCAGAGGCUGGGGUCAGAGGUAGGGAGGCCAACCACCAUACUUUGAGUAGCUAGACCCCAUCUCAAUCUCUGUGAUGCUCACAAAGGCUGUAUGCCUUUCAGAAAUGUUUCGACACUAGGGAAAGGGUUGAAAAUACUAUAUGAAUAAUUUGCCUUUUAGCUGUCCGUAAGUAAUUAUAGUUCCCUAACCGACCACUGUGUUUACAAGUACUCCAGGGGGAGGAGGCAGACAGUGUGUGAACUGUCCAUAGGGCAGGGUUGCACCUUUUUUUCUAUGGAACUUGAAUCUGAAAGGAUCUGUCACUCAGCCGGUUGAGUUUCUAAUUAUGUCUCACCUUAAUCAGGCCUCAGGGAGUGGGCAGUUUAGAAGACUGUCCAUGUUAUCAAAUGAGCAAGUCAGCCUCAUUCAGGAAGUCUAAUUGCCAAAUGUCAAAUAGAAGCUUUAUAGUUAGUCUUAUUUUGUCUUCCCGGGCUACUAGGGAAGUGGUGGACCCUUAUUUUAUGGAUGCAGAAAUGCUCAGAAAGGCUAAUGACAUGCCCAGACUGAUUUUGAUAGGAACUGACAGAAGUAGAAUUUGACCCCAAAUCUAUAUAAUGCCAAAUACUUGCCACUCUGCUGCCCCCCACCUCCACCCCCAGAUUGUGGCAAUUAGCCCUCUUUUCGAAAGGAGUUAGAGAGAAAUCCUUGAAAAGAGAGCCUAAAUUUUAUUUAGAAUUGUAAAGUUCAGAGACCAAUCUUCAGCACUAGUAUUAUUUUACUGGAUCCUGGUUUCCAGCUAAGCUCAUUGAAGAUCGAUGAACUCUACCCUGUCACCUGGAGCUUUGCUAUUCCACAAAGUCUUUGUUGGAGUAGUUCUGCAGUGGCGGGGGUGCUUACGGGGGGCAUAUCUUACCCCCAUUCCUGCUCCCUCAGCCUGAAUAAUGGCAGCCACUACCCCAGCAAGUCUGAGGUCUCCAUGGAGCCGCAGAGCCAGGAAAAUGACCAUCCACCGAGGAACUGCCCAGCCCUGCGUGUAGAAGACGCAGGGCACAAACUCGGUUUGAGAAGCCAAAUCCCGUGAAAACAGAUUGUUAUGAUCAUUAUACAACUACAGAUGUGAUAAAUUCAUUUGAGUAAUAAAAAAAAUGAAAAAAAAAAAAAAAAA
RNAcentral lists this long non-coding RNA (3717 nucleotides) under Sus scrofa (pig). RNAcentral's name for it is "lncRNA (ENSSSCG00060012054.1)". The record is from RNAcentral. Lineage: Eukaryota; Metazoa; Chordata; Mammalia; Artiodactyla; Suidae.